RNAcentral lists this ribosomal RNA (500 nucleotides) under uncultured bacterium. Its description in RNAcentral is "partial 16S ribosomal RNA". It matches the Rfam family "Bacterial small subunit ribosomal RNA", at positions 30 to 523 of the family's 1533-position model. The record is from RNAcentral.
AUUGAACGCUGGCGGCAUGCCUUACACAUGCAAGUCGAACGGUAACGGGUCCUUCGGGAUGCCGACGAGUGGCGAACGGGUGAGUAAUAUAUCGGAACGUGCCCAGUAGUGGGGGAUAACUGCUCGAAAGAGCAGCUAAUACCGCAUACGACCUGAGGGUGAAAGGGGGGGAUAGCAAGACCUUUCGCCAUUGGAGCGGCCGAUAUCAGAUUAGCUAGUUGGUGGGGUAAGGGCCUACCAAGGCAACGAUCUGUAGUUGGUCUGAGAGGACGACCAGCCACACUGGGACUGAGACACGGCCCAGACUCCUACGGGAGGCAGCAGUGGGGAAUUUUGGACAAUGGUCGCAAGCCUGAUCCAGCAAUGCCGCGUGCAGGAUGAAGGCCUUCGGGUUGUAAACUGCUUUUGUGCGGAACGAAAAGCCCUGGGUUAAUACCCUGGGGUCAUGACGGUACCGUAAGAAUAAGCACCGGCUAACUACGUGCCAGCCGCCGCCGUAA